Molecule: long non-coding RNA, 2978 nt
Organism: Engraulis encrasicolus (European anchovy)
Lineage: Eukaryota; Metazoa; Chordata; Actinopteri; Clupeiformes; Engraulidae
Exons: 5
Source: RefSeq, a predicted model, not a curated record
CCAAAAAUGUUACUGCCCAGUGCCCACCCAUUCCCCGGAGAGAAAAAAAUAGACCCUUAGACUAGUAUGACGGUAUUUCCAGUGUUACUUUUCCCUCUGACAUUCAAACGAAGAAACAUGUGUCACUUCAAAGUGAAACUAAACUGACGGAGGCGACUGAUCCAGCAGGCUUAACUCUAGCCAACAUAGCCACAUGACUAUCUUUGCGGGUAUUCUUUGGAUAUACUUCUCAGGUAUUCUUUGAAACCCUGUUUCACCUGACGAUAUGGGCUUUUUACCGACAGCCAGCCAUGGCUGUGAUUCUCCAUUACAUGCACUGUGAAUCGGACAUGACCAAUGUGUCUGUAUGCUCUGGCAUGGUCACUUAUUUUACUACCUCUUGGAUUCUGCUGUGAAGGCCCAAAGAACAAAAGCGAGAUUACAAUGGAUUACCAACAUGCAAUCAUGCCACUCCUGCAGGCAAUACACUUGGAUGUUACCAAAGACAUCAAUGCAACCUGCACAGAGAAGAAAAGAAGUCCUCAGGAGUUUCGGGAGACUUUUCCGACAGAGGCAAUGGUGGGAGCCGUGUGCGCAGUGAUUUGCAGACAUUCAAAUAAAGAUUUUUGUUUUGGAGAACCCACGAGACUGCAGAGCACACAAAAACCCAUGACACUACAGAACCCACCAGAACCCACGAGACUGCAGAAGUUGAGUGUCGAUAUCCAAGCGUCCCUUUGCUGUAAAUGUAAAACAAAGAAGGUUAAACGAGACACAAGGCAAAAAGAGAGUGAAUGUGAAUCGCAGAAGAAAAGGGACAAGAAACUUUGCACUCUGAAACACUGGCUGGAGAGGAUAAAGGACCUGUACAGUCAAUUCAACGCAACUUGAGGGGAACUUUCCGAUGGCAGGAUGACAGGACAUUAUUGUCAUGAUGGCCCCACACUGCCAAAGCACUGGUGCAAACAGCUGUGGGAUUACAUCAAAGAUUCUUUAACGUCUCUGAUUACAUACACCUCAAGGACACAAGAAGGACAUGUUUGUUGACCUCUCUCAAGUGCCUUUACCAGGCAUGGGGAACCGGUUUCAUUCGAGGGACACUUUAAACUUUAUAAAGUCCUCCAAGGGCCGUACUAUGAACACAAACCAGGAUUCCCCUGCACUUUAAACCUAUAUUGAAGGUGGCCACCUUUACGUCAGACCCCACCUUCUCUAGGUCUCCUGGAUAUAUAACUUAAUUAUAUUGCACAUGUAAUUUGUAAGAUUCCUUUACCUAAAACAUGUCAUAUUUCAUGUGAAACUGCAUAAUAUUAAAAUUAUAUUAGCUGCCGGAUAAGACAGCCUCAAGGGCUAUAAGCGGCCCUUGAUAGGCUCCCCGGCCCUGGCCUAUACUAUAAGAACGGAUAUGGAGGAAAAUGGAAUGGCUAUGCACUUGGCAGUAGGCCUAUUGGUACAGUAUGACUAACUAUCAAAUUCGAACCUGUAUAACAUGUCAAAAUGCCCGAUUCAUGAAUCACAGAUUCUGUGUUGCAAUAGCCAUUUUUGAAUGUCUCCCAAAGUCACUUCACUCGUGCCAUCAGGUGCAUUAUUACCAACACUCUACCGACUGGUUUCACAGGCCCAAUUUGUCAGACUCAUGAAGACCCUCUUGGAAAGUCGUAAAAGCCUGCAGCCAGGGUUGCCACUUCUGAAAAAGAAAAAUAACCCUGGACAUUUGGAACUCAAUCAACCCUUUUUCUUGGGUUGGCAAUGGCAUCCUUCAGUCAGUAUGCAGGGGAAAAAAUCUCCGGGACAAACCAUUCAAAACAGUCUUCCAUCUCCGGCGCUGCACUGCUGUGAUGAGUGCCAGUCAGUGCGUCACUGCCAGUCAGACAAUCAGGUAAAGCCAGGACAUGUAGCCACAAUAUCUACUGUAUGCACACACUAAGGAUCUGUUUCCAGGUAGCAGGAUAUUUUUAAAUGUGGAUUUUUGUUCUCCUGUUUACAUUGGUUUUGGCAAGAGAUGGUAUCUAACAAGCAACCAUCUCUGUUUUGGCCCCCUGUUUCCACGGAAACAUGGCCAUACAGAGGAACUCCUUUAGCCCAAAUCCCUUCCGCAUUGCCAGGGUUGUUCCAUAGCCGUCCACUGCAUUCCCCACGCUGUCCUGAAUGAUGGGAGUCCAGCUGUGACUAUACAUGUGAUAGCAUACAUGUUUAAGUAAACAUUCAUGUAUAACAGCACUUGUAUAUGACAUAGCAUGAGAAUGCAAUGACAUAAGACACACGGUUAAAUAAAUGUUCGUGUUUGGAACCAAAUGUGAAAAUGGGUUUUACUGUAGGCUAGUACUGUGGUAGUGAAUUGGCUAUAGUUUUAUGUUGUUGCAUAGUGAUUAACGUAAUGUUGCCUUCCACAGUCAUGGCGACAUGCCCAUCAUAGACGUCACUGUGAACCUAGAAUGAGUCAGGAAUGAGUCAACAAUCUUUGGCGGCACUCUGGCUAAAUCCCCAGACUGGAUAAGCAAUGAGUGCAUUCCAAUAUGCGGACUCCCGUUUUCCACUUGUGCUUGUGGCCUCACGUUUUGUUGACGCCCAGCCCUGUGGAGAAAACAAUAGUCUCUCCGCUGUCAGCCUAACCACAACAACUUUUGGGGGACUGUUCUUCAUUCACCAUCUCGAUAGCAAACGAGAAAAUGAUAGUAGAAUUGCACUUUCGCAAGACAUUGAAUUCAUUUUCUGUCGUCAGUGACAUUGUCACAAGGUCACAAGCAGGCAAGUGAGGACAGGACUCCACAUAUAGGAAUCCACCCAAUUUGUUGCUGGUCUUCUACAGGAAGUAGAGGAAUUCUAAACGUUGUAUGUUCAUUAGUGUUUUGUAAAAUAAGUAAAAGUCAUGCAUCUAGAACAAACAACCCAGAUUAUACAUUAGGUUUGGUUAUAUUUGAACACAUUUGCUUUUGAGCAUUCUACUAUUUCUUUUCUUGAAUGAAACUGGACAUUUCACAUUUUUUUGGUGAGCUCGG